UACGUAGGGUGCGAGCGUUGUCCGGAAUUAUUGGGCGUAAAGAGCUCGUAGGCGGUGUGUCGCGUCGAUCGUGAAAACCUGCAGCUUAACUGUGGGCUUGCGGUCGAUACGGGCAUCACUGGAGUUCGGCAGGGGAGACUGGAAUUCCUGGUGUAGCGGUGAAAUGCGCAGAUAUCAGGAGGAACACCGGUGGCGAAGGCGGGUCUCUGGGCCGAUACUGACGCUGAGGUGCGAAAGCUAGGGGAGCAAACGGG
RNAcentral lists this ribosomal RNA (254 nucleotides) under uncultured bacterium. RNAcentral describes it as "partial 16S ribosomal RNA". It matches the Rfam family "Bacterial small subunit ribosomal RNA", at positions 524 to 776 of the family's 1533-position model. The record is from RNAcentral.